Zingiber officinale is the source of this 1249-nucleotide long non-coding RNA. RefSeq lists it as uncharacterized. The record is from RefSeq and is a predicted model, not a curated record. NCBI's taxonomy places the organism in Eukaryota, Viridiplantae, Streptophyta, Magnoliopsida, Zingiberales, Zingiberaceae. The transcript is spliced from 2 exons.
CCGGGAUGCAUAGGUUCUUGGCUGGUUCCUCGUCCUCACAAGUUCGUCUCUCUCUCUAUCGAGUUUUAUGAAACUUUUUUUCUUGACGUGGGUCUGUUUAUUUGGUUGAAUCCGUCGAGAAAUUUUCUUCUUUUCCCAUUUUUCCUUCACCGGCUUCGUUUCUGACGGAUUUCUUCAUUUUUUUCAUGUUCGAUUGGAUGGUUUGAUGCAGUCUUUCUUUUCUCCCAAUGAAAUGUGAGGCAGAAUGUCAUGUAUCGGUGUUUAUGCUCUUGUACAUGCAUUGUCAUUGAGUGUUCCCUGCCAAAAGCGAUCUUUUGAGCGAAAGGAACAUCGGGCAAACCCUAAUUUUUUAUUGGGUGUCGCGACAAUUGCUUCUGCUAACAUCCUCUCCAUGAACAGCGGGAAUUCGCGUUUGUUGAUCUAUGAGGCAUGUUAGGGUGUAUCACCGAAAGUGUUUCCUGCAAAAGCGAUUUAUGGGGUAAAUGGACAUCAACAAACCUUCAUUUUUUUUGGAUGUCUCGACAAUUUAUUUUCCUCAAAUGCCUGUCAAAAACAGGUUUUCAUUGAAAUUAAUCGUUUCCUUUGCCGUAUUCUAGCUAUUGUUGUUCCGGUUUUCUUUGAAUCUUCAGAUCUCACACAUUUGUUCUGAAAGCCCGAUGAUGGAAAAUACAUAUGAAUUUAGAGGCAGUUAUGGCUAUCUAAUGUUGUUAACCGACCCAUGCUAUUUUAUCACCUCCAUUCUCAUCGUAACCUCCGUUACCGCCUCCGCCUCCUCCUCUUCCUCCUCCUCCAUUAACUACUUUUGACGUUCUCACUUUCAAUGCAUGUGAAGGCGAGCUACAUGAGAUGCCAUAAACUAAUCCUCGAUGAUUGCUAAAAGCUAUGAGAUCUGAGGGCUUUUGUGUGUCAGAAUGUUCUACACACGAAACAAUCGAUUUCUUCAUUCUUUCAAAUUUGCUUGGAUUAAGUUUUCAAUGAAUGCUCUGUUUGCCGUCUUCAGUUCUGACGUUUUUCCACAAAAAAUUGCUAUUUGAGCAUGCUGAUAGUGUUCAUUAGGAUUGCGAUCUGUUGAAAGAGGAUAAGAUUGGUCGCACAUUAGAUUUUGCUCGUUUGUGAGAUUGGUAGGGAAGAGUUUAUAUGGAUACUAUUUUGUUUAUAUCUUAGAUAUAUGUUACCAUUUGAUUUAAAAACUUAUGGUUAUUUUUGACCGAGAUUACUUGAAAUGAUUUGGUUUUGAAUUUUGAUAUUU